This 897-nucleotide ribosomal RNA is filed under the name Enterococcus gallinarum. RNAcentral describes it as "bacterial SSU rRNA". It matches the Rfam family "Bacterial small subunit ribosomal RNA", at positions 36 to 904 of the family's 1533-position model. The record is from RNAcentral. Lineage: Bacteria; Bacillati; Bacillota; Bacilli; Lactobacillales; Enterococcaceae.
CUGGCGGCGUGCCUAAUACAUGCAAGUCGAACGCUUUUUCUUUCACCGGAGCUUGCUCCACCGAAAGAAAAAGAGUGGCGAACGGGUGAGUAACACGUGGGUAACCUGCCCAUCAGAAGGGGAUAACACUUGGAAACAGGUGCUAAUACCGUAUAACACUAUUUUCCGCAUGGAAGAAAGUUGAAAGGCGCUUUUGCGUCACUGAUGGAUGGACCCGCGGUGCAUUAGCUAGUUGGUGAGGUAACGGCUCACCAAGGCAACGAUGCAUAGCCGACCUGAGAGGGUGAUCGGCCACACUGGGACUGAGACACGGCCCAGACUCCUACGGGAGGCAGCAGUAGGGAAUCUUCGGCAAUGGACGAAAGUCUGACCGAGCAACGCCGCGUGAGUGAAGAAGGUUUUCGGAUCGUAAAACUCUGUUGUUAGAGAAGAACAAGGAUGAGAGUAGAACGUUCAUCCCUUGACGGUAUCUAACCAGAAAGCCACGGCUAACUACGUGCCAGCAGCCGCGGUAAUACGUAGGUGGCAAGCGUUGUCCGGAUUUAUUGGGCGUAAAGCGAGCGCAGGCGGUUUCUUAAGUCUGAUGUGAAAGCCCCCGGCUCAACCGGGGAGGGUCAUUGGAAACUGGGAGACUUGAGUGCAGAAGAGGAGAGUGGAAUUCCAUGUGUAGCGGUGAAAUGCGUAGAUAUAUGGAGGAACACCAGUGGCGAAGGCGGCUCUCUGGUCUGUAACUGACGCUGAGGCUCGAAAGCGUGGGGAGCGAACAGGAUUAGAUACCCUGGUAGUCCACGCCGUAAACGAUGAGUGCUAAGUGUUGGAGGGUUUCCGCCCUUCAGUGCUGCAGCAAACGCAUUAAGCACUCCGCCUGGGGAGUACGACCGCAAGGUUGAAACUCAA